Molecule: ribosomal RNA, 490 nt
Filed under: uncultured bacterium
Lineage: Bacteria
Description: partial 16S ribosomal RNA
Rfam family: Bacterial small subunit ribosomal RNA
Source: RNAcentral
AAUGAACGCUGGCGGCAUGCCUUACACAUGCAAGUCGAACGGCAGCAUGACCUCGCUUGCUAGGUUGAUGGCGAGUGGCGAACGGGUGAGUAAUGCAUCGGAACGUGCCUUUUAGUGGGGGAUAACGUAGCGAAAGUUACGCUAAUACCGCAUAUUCUCUGAGGAGGAAAGCAGGGGACCUUCGGGCCUUGCGCUAGAAGAGCGGCCGAUGUCGGAUUAGCUAGUUGGUGAGGUAAAGGCUCACCAAGGCAACGAUCCGUAGCGGGUCUGAGAGGAUGAUCCGCCACACUGGGACUGAGGCACGGCCCAGACUCCUACGGGAGGCAGCAGUGGGGAAUUUUGGACAAUGGGCGCAAGCCUGAUCCAGCCAUGCCGCGUGAGUGAAGAAGGCCUUCGGGUUGUAAAGCUCUUUCGGCUGGGAAGAAAUCGCACCCUCUAAUACAGGGUGUGGAUGACGGUACCAGCAUAAGAAGCACCGGCUAACUACGUG